UGUGCCCUGGACAGAGCUUCCCUAUAGGUGACACCUUCCCAUGAAUCAUUUCCUUACUACGGUGUCCAUCAGUAAUCCUCUGUGAUGUCCAGAGACAUAUGGUGCUCAUAAAGGUCUCUGUCCCCACUGCUGACGGUCCAUCAGACAGUUUCCAUCCUCACGGCCAACCAGCUGAACCUCUCGGAAA
This is a long non-coding RNA of Scomber japonicus (chub mackerel), 187 nucleotides long. RefSeq lists it as uncharacterized. The record is from RefSeq and is a predicted model, not a curated record. The transcript has 3 exons. Lineage: Eukaryota; Metazoa; Chordata; Actinopteri; Scombriformes; Scombridae.